GGGGAAUAUUGCACAAUGGACGAAAGUCUGAUGCAGCAACGCCGCGUGGAGGAUGACACAUUUCGGUGCGUAAACUCCUUUUAUAUAGGAAGAUAAUGACGGUACUAUAUGAAUAAGCACCGGCUAACUCCGUGCCAGCAGCCGCGGUAAUACGGAGGGUGCAAGCGUUACUCGGAAUCACUGGGCGUAAAGAGCGUGUAGGCGGGUAUAUAAGUCAGAAGUGAAAUCCAAUAGCUUAACUAUUGAACUGCUUUUGAAACUGUAUACCUAGAAUGUGGGAGAGGUAGAUGGAAUUUCUGGUGUAGGGGUAAAAUCCGUAGAGAUCAGAAGGAAUACCGAUUGCGAAGGCGAUCUACUGGAACAUUAUUGACGCUGAGACGCGAAAGCGUGGGGAGCAAACA
Molecule: ribosomal RNA, 401 nt
Filed under: uncultured Arcobacter sp.
Lineage: Bacteria; Pseudomonadati; Campylobacterota; Epsilonproteobacteria; Campylobacterales; Arcobacteraceae
Description: bacterial SSU rRNA
Rfam family: Bacterial small subunit ribosomal RNA
Source: RNAcentral